This 723-nucleotide ribosomal RNA is filed under the name Triticum aestivum (bread wheat). Its description in RNAcentral is "partial small subunit ribosomal RNA". The record is from RNAcentral. Lineage: Eukaryota; Viridiplantae; Streptophyta; Magnoliopsida; Poales; Poaceae.
AUGGAAAACUACUUCUUAUCUCUGAUUUUAACAAAGAAUUGCAAAGAAAUGAAGAGGGCAAAAACUGCUCAACAAGAAGGAUUGUUGUCACCUAGUGCGGGGUUUGAGAAAAAGAGGGCAAGUAAGCAAAAAGUAAAACUUACAGAUGAAGCUGGAUGUGUGAUAUCCAGUCAGGCUAGUUUAGACAGAAAAAUGGAAGAGCUUAGGGAAAAUAUGUUCAUUAAGAAAAAGCUAGAAGAGGAAAGAAAAGAAAAUACUGGAGAGUUGGAUAAGCUAGAUUUUGAGCAGAAAUAUGACGAUUUGGAACUCAAGAGAUGUUAUACAAAGACAGAGGAGGCUUGUUCAGAAAAUCCUGAGAAGGAAAAGGCUACUGGUCCUACAACUGAAGUGGAAGUUGUGCAUUGGAAAGAUGAACUGAUUGAACCAAAGAAAAACAGGAAAGGGGACAAAAAUAAGGGUAACACUGUAGAGGAGAGGAGGCCAAGCGACAGGACAGAUACUGAUCAUAACAUGAUGGACAAGACCAUGGAGAGAGCGAGACUCAAGAACUUGGGAGGAUUGCAAGGUACACUGGAAUACGUGUCGGCGUGCCCUCGAUACGUUCAGAGUUUAGCGCUGAGACUCUCACACUGCAAGUUUGCCGCUUAUCGAUCGCAUGUAAGUUUGAGCAUCUUGGCGGCAUUGAGGCAUAUGACGUUCACCCUUGGCCUUCAGUUCCCAUGA